This 76-nucleotide transfer RNA is filed under the name Rudanella sp. RNAcentral describes it as "tRNA-Lys". It matches the Rfam family "tRNA". From Rfam's summary of the family: Transfer RNA (tRNA) molecules are approximately 80 nucleotides in length. Their secondary structure includes four short double-helical elements and three loops (D, anti-codon, and T loops). Further hydrogen bonds mediate the characteristic L-shaped molecular structure. tRNAs have two regions of fundamental functional importance: the anti-codon, which is responsible for specific mRNA codon recognition, and the 3' end, to which the tRNAs corresponding amino acid is attached (by aminoacyl-tRNA synthetases). tRNAs cope with the degeneracy of the genetic code in two manners: having more than one tRNA (with a specific anti-codon) for a particular amino acid; and 'wobble' base-pairing, i.e. permitting non-standard base-pairing at the 3rd anti-codon position. Lineage: Bacteria; Pseudomonadati; Bacteroidota; Cytophagia; Cytophagales; Cytophagaceae. The record is from RNAcentral.
GAUCUGGUAGCUCAGUGGGUAUAGCAAUACACUUUUAAUGUAUGGGGCCUGGGUUCGAAUCCCAGCCGGAUCACCA